GGAAAAUUAGCUCAGUUGGUCAGAGCACUCGGCUCAUAACCGAUCGGUCCUGGGUUCGAGUCCCAGAUUUUCCA
This 74-nucleotide transfer RNA is filed under the name Caudoviricetes sp. RNAcentral's name for it is "tRNA-Met". It matches the Rfam family "tRNA". From Rfam's summary of the family: Transfer RNA (tRNA) molecules are approximately 80 nucleotides in length. Their secondary structure includes four short double-helical elements and three loops (D, anti-codon, and T loops). The record is from RNAcentral. Lineage: Duplodnaviria; Heunggongvirae; Uroviricota; Caudoviricetes.